This 985-nucleotide long non-coding RNA is filed under the name Homo sapiens (human). RNAcentral's name for it is "non-protein coding lnc-STARD10-1:4". The record is from RNAcentral. Lineage: Eukaryota; Metazoa; Chordata; Mammalia; Primates; Hominidae.
AACCGUAAUAAAUAGUAACCUAACGGUCCAGUCAUCGUUCUGUGGUCCUUUCUUUUAUGAUUCACAAGGAAUGACCCUCUUCAUCGCCUCUCCUAAUUCAGUCCUCACAACAGUCCUUUUACAAAUGGGACAACAGGUUAGAGGAAGUCAGGCAGAUUUCCAGCAUCAUAGAGAGUAAAGGACCAGGGAAGGAUCAGGAUUCAAGGACUGCACCCAGGCUCUGCUUCCAGCUUGCUGUGUGACUUUGGACCCUGCUGUGUUGAGAUGAGCACCAGAGCCAAGAAGCUGAGGAGGAUCUGGAGAAUUCUGGAGGAAGAGGAGAGUGUUGCUGGAGCUGUACAGACCCUGCUUCUCAGGUCCCAGGAAGGUGGCGUCAGCAUCUGCAGCCGCGUCGACGUUGUCGGAGCCUCCGCGGAGGACCCAGGAGAGCCGGACUAGGACCAGGGCCCUGGGCCUCCCCACACUCCCCAUGGAGAAGCUGGCGGCCUCUACAGAGCCCCAAGGGCCUCGGCCGGUCCUGGGCCGUGAGAGUGUCCAGGUGCCCGAUGACCAAGACUUUCGCAGCUUCCGGUCAGAGUGUGAGGCUGAGGUGGGCUGGAACCUGACCUAUAGCAGGGCUGGGGUGUCUGUCUGGGUGCAGGCUGUGGAGAUGGAUCGGACGCUGCACAAGAUCAAGGUAGGGUUGCCCGCUAUACCUGCAGCCUCCACUGCACCCUUACUGCCUCUCUCCCGGAGUCUCCUGGUCCUCUCUCCGGGCUAGACACCUGGCUGUAUAUCUGGGCCCAGAGAGAGUCUCCUUCCAGGGACCGGGAGGAGACACAGUCUGCUGGGCCAAGCCCCAUCACACAGAUGGGCCAACCGAGGCCUGGAGAGCAGGAGUGACUCACCCUGCCUCUCUCAGCUGGAACCCAGGCUUCUGCAUGCCCCUGCCUGUUCCAGGGAUCUGGGCUGCUGCCAGGCCCUUCUAGGAGAGUGGUCUCCCUCA